CAAUAACUUCCUUGCGAAGACAACCUUAGAAAGUUGUGGGUGUGCAUAUAUAUCCAAUCUUACAUAUCUUGAAGAACUAGAUAAGCGAUGAGUACAGCUGCAUAAUCUCCAGUGACAGAGAUGGGAUCGGAUACUUUUGCCAUGAACUGAAAGGCAGAAAUGCCAUUCAUGGAUCAGGAUUUGGCAGAGGGGGAAGGACAGAAGAACAUGCCAUGCUGGAUAAAAUGGAGUCAGGACAUAGUUCCCUCUGUUUCUGAUAAUGUCACUUGGAGGAAUGGAUUUGGAAACAGAACUUUGCAGGGGUGGAACUAUAGGAUCUACUGUUCUGUGGUGUAUCAUCUAUGUCUCACUAUAUCCUGUAGUGUCCCAUGUGUAUGUCCCCCACUUCUCAAUCAAGCAUACCACUGUGCACCUCAGGAGAAAGGCAUGAGCAGGAAGAAACAUUAUAAGCAGAAACGGCAGGAGCGAUGA
RNAcentral lists this long non-coding RNA (471 nucleotides) under Anas platyrhynchos (mallard). RNAcentral describes it as "lncRNA (ENSAPLG00020006102.1)". The record is from RNAcentral. Lineage: Eukaryota; Metazoa; Chordata; Aves; Anseriformes; Anatidae.